GACGAACGCUGGCGGCGUGCUUAACACAUGCAAGUCGAACGGAAAGGCCCUGCUUGCAGGGCACUCGAGUGGCGAACGGGUGAGUAACACGUGGGUGAUCUGCCCUGCACUUCGGGAUAAGCCUGGGAAACUGGGUCUAAUACCGGAUAGGAGCCAUUUUUAGUGUGAUGGUUGGAAAGUUUUUUCGGUGUAGGAUGAGCUCGCGGCCUAUCAGCUUGUUGGUGGGGUAAUGGCCUACCAAGGCGGCGACGGGUAGCCGGCCUGAGAGGGUGGACGGCCACAUUGGGACUGAGAUACGGCCCAGACUCCUACGGGAAGCAGCAGUGGGGAAUAUUGCACAAUGGGCGCAAGCCUGAUGCAGCGACGCCGCGUGGGGGAUGACGGCCUUCGGGUUGUAAACUCCUUUCGCUAGGGACGAAGCUUUUUGUGACGGUACCUAGAUAAGAAGCACCGGCUAACUACGUG
RNAcentral lists this ribosomal RNA (465 nucleotides) under uncultured bacterium. Its description in RNAcentral is "partial 16S ribosomal RNA". It matches the Rfam family "Bacterial small subunit ribosomal RNA", at positions 28 to 507 of the family's 1533-position model. The record is from RNAcentral.